Molecule: ribosomal RNA, 737 nt
Filed under: uncultured Actinomycetes bacterium
Lineage: Bacteria; Bacillati; Actinomycetota; Actinomycetes
Description: bacterial SSU rRNA
Rfam family: Bacterial small subunit ribosomal RNA
Source: RNAcentral
UUUCUUCGGAAAUGGAUUAGCGGCGAACGGGUGAGGAACACGUGAAGAAUCUGCCCUCCACUUUGGGAUAGCACCGGGAAACCGGUGCUAAUACCGAAUAUUGAAACAUAAGUGGCAUCACUGAGUUUUGAAAGAAUUUCGGUGGAGGAUGACUUCGCGGCCUAUCAGCUAGUUGGUGAGGUAAUGGCUCACCAAGGCAACGACGGGUAGCCGGCCUGAGAGGGCGACCGGCCACACUGGGACUGAGACACGGCCCAGACUCCUACGGGAGGCAGCAGUGGGGAAUAUUGGGCAAUGGAGGAAACUCUGACCCAGCGACGCCGCGUGCGGGAUGAAGGCCUUCGGGUUGUAAACCGCUUUCAGUAGGGAAGAAGCGAAAGUGACGGUACCUACAAAAGAAGCACCGGCUAACUAUGUGCCAGCAGCCGCGGUAAUACAUAGGGUGCAAGCGUUGUCCGGAAUUAUUGGGCGUAAAGAGCUCGUAGGUCGUUUGUUACGUCGGAUGUGAAAACCUGAGGCUCAACCUCAGGCCUGCAUUCGAUACGGGCAAACUAGAGUUUGGUAGGGGAGACUGGAAUUCCUGGUGUAGCGGUGGAAUGCGCAGAUAUCAGGAGGAACACCAAUGGCGAAGGCAGGUCUCUGGGCCAAUACUGACACUGAGGAGCGAAAGUCUGGGGAGCGAACAGGAUUAGAUACCCUGGUAGUCCAGACCGUAAACGGUGGGCACUAGUUGUGGG